UGCCAGCAGCCGCGGUAAUACGGAGGCGGCUAGCGUUGUUCGGAAUUACUGGGCGUACAGCGCGCGUAGGCGGGCUGUUAAGUCGGGGGUGAAAUCCCGGGGCUCAACCCCGGAACUGCCCUUGAUACUGGUAGUCUUGAGUUCGAGAGAGGGUAGUGGAAUUCCGGGUGUAGCGGUGAAAUGCGUAGAUAUCCGGAGGAACAUCAGUGGCGAAGGCGGCUGCCUGGCUCAAUACUGACACUGAGGUGCGAAAGCGUGGGGAGCGAACAGGAUUAGAUA
RNAcentral lists this ribosomal RNA (279 nucleotides) under uncultured bacterium. RNAcentral describes it as "partial 16S ribosomal RNA". It matches the Rfam family "Bacterial small subunit ribosomal RNA", at positions 506 to 784 of the family's 1533-position model. The record is from RNAcentral.